This 2615-nucleotide long non-coding RNA is filed under the name Toxoplasma gondii VEG. Lineage: Eukaryota; Apicomplexa; Conoidasida; Eucoccidiorida; Sarcocystidae. The record is from RNAcentral.
UUCACAGUAAAGUGUAUGGCUCUAAGGGUUCCGUAUUCGAUUCCAAUUUUGCUCUAGCAUCACGGCGGUGAUAUCUUUGAGAUUGCCCCUGGCGCAUACGGCCUCCAUUGCAAACAAAGCAAGCUCUUCACGCUUUGUUUUGGAACAGGCCCAUUUAGCGCGUCGUCAUGUGGAGCGAAACAAUCGACUUGAGAGGAUCACGGUUUCUUAUUUUACCGAUAGAAAGGUGGCCCGCGCUUGCCGCUUUCCCUUGGGCUGCGCAGGUGGAAGGCAACGACAAACAAACGGAAUGAAGUGCACCACGGAAAAUAGCACGUGAAACGGCUUUGUUCCAGUGAACCAAGUGGCUCUGAUGUAUGAAAAACAGAGAGGGAUUAGCGAAGGGUUUCUUGUGACGGACAGAAGCACUCGAAAAACGGGUCGAGUGUUCAAACUGGCAACAUUCGAGAAAACUUCGUCUCUACAGCGUAGUUCGGUUGUCGCCGCAGCAGAGACGGUGUUCGUGGAUUUGUUGUUACCAGCGCAGUCGACUUUCUGACAGUUAAUUUCACCGAAGUCUGUGGGGUUUUUCGGGUUCCCUUUUCAGGCGAAACAUGGAUAGAAACAUUUUUCGAGAUGCAGUUUUUCUACCCACGCUUUGGCAUCACCAAGGGGACCAGAAAACGGCUAGAGAGAGUGUGUUGUUGAAGUAGCGCAUACCCUCCGGUCGACUUUCGUCUGCCCCACCAAUUCUCAUCAUGGGCGUGGUCAAAGUAACACAGAAUCGGAUCUCUGGUUCUUCAGGUCCAGGUUCGUCGCGUCCCUUCGACGGAAACGGGGGCGUGAAAGUGUAGAUAACACCGUCAGGCGUGUAUCUCUUCGUCCAGAGGCGCCGGAGAUUUUUCUUUCUCUUGUACUUCUUGAACAAGUCCUCGUAGUCGACAGACUCCUCCUUACAUUCCUCGCCGUCGAAGAGGAAAACUCGUUGAUUCAAAGGAUUCGUCUUGCCCACGCGAGGCGCAAAUACCAUUUUUCGGCUUUUGUCGAUAACCUGAAGUUGCUCGCCUUUUACCAGGUACACGUCGCGCCGCACGUCGCCGAGUGUAAGUCCAUACUUCCCAAUCUUGACAACCUCAACCCGGGGGACGUUCUGUGCCAGCGCCGAGGACGGCGAGUUUGAUGCAUUGGGAUGCAGCGAGAGAAAGCUUAGUGGAACGCCGGAUGCCAGAAAAAGAACCAGAAGUGUGAACUUGAGUGAAACUUCCUUCUGUCGCUCGGCAGAGACCAUCGUGUCAAAGAUACUGCAAUGAAGUUGCCGAAUCGCUGAAUGGACACCAAAAGUAGAAUUUAACAUCAGAGGUUCCGUACCUGGUCGGCAGGCCGUGUCAUGCUAACAAACGCAAGGAAAGGCGUUCAUUUCCUCGGUCCCCAAAGCCGGAGAUACCCACUCAUUUCACACUUGCAAACUACGUAAAAAAACGAAGACUGGUGCUUGAAUCAACAAAGUCGGACGAAAGUGUCCUUUCUUUUAGCAACGCAGCUUCACUGUUAUACAGCCACUUUACCCGGUGGGUUUUUCCUACAGGAACUGCACCAGUACAGUGAACACGGUGUAGCCUUCAACUUCAGAAUGUCGUACCUCAAUGAAGGCAUCGCAACUCCCGGUAUUGUUGCCCGAUUUUCUACGACCUCCGCUGUCUCUGCUUUCUGUAGUUUUGUUGUUCCCAAAUUAGACGCUGGGGUUGCUGAGUUCUCCCAAACUCUUCAUUUCCAUUGAUCUCUCAUACGUGUACGGGGGGAGACGACGAAGAACGUGAAUUGUUCACUACAGUAACGUGCGACUAAGUGCCAGUCCAACAACUGUCUACGAAGCAGUGUCGUUUUACUCAAGCAGACAAAAGAGUGAAGAGCGGGAGUCCGGCCAAAGCUUUGCUGUAGCCAGGAAGAAUGCCACGCGCGUCCGAGUGGUUACCGCUAAAGAAAUGCAGGCAGUCGUAUAUGUACAAGUCCUUCCCUCUACGCACAUGCACGCGCAUAUACAUGUAUAAGUUUGCGUGCUCAAAUAGGAUUGCUCGUUUCCUUGGAAAUCAUUCUCCUGGAGGAAGGUUUGGAAAUGACUAGUACACUGUUGUAGAACCGGAAUCAAGGAAAGGGGUGUUUUAGUUUCCUCGAACGCCUUGAUUUCCCUUUGAGUCCUAUCUUCGAGUGUUGAUUUAUCAGGAAGCGAGUCACAAUUACCUAUUUCUGAUGCGAAAAACCGGUGUUACUGCAUGCACCGAGCGCAAGUAGCAUCACGCGUCGUUUGAGAAGAACAAAUUUGCACAUGUGAAAAAGGCAUGCUUCCGCAAAGCAAACACUGUUCGUCUAUGUUGAAAGAGUUGCACCAGAAAAAGUUGUCUCGUCAAAAACUGGAACCCACUCGUGCGCCAACCGCGAUGACAUUGUGGGACCGUAUAAUCACCACCUCGGCUGUCAACAGCCGAAAAAGACGAAGGUAUGUGUUGACAAAGAUAAUCCGGUGGUUGUACUGAGAACGCGUUAAAAGCUGAGGGCGAUGGAACAUUGUUACAGCGCUGUCAGCGCUAGGCAGAUCGCGGCGUGAUAAAGAAACGAGACUCUAUGUCGUAGAAUCUUAC